RNAcentral lists this long non-coding RNA (222 nucleotides) under Lathyrus oleraceus (garden pea). RNAcentral's name for it is "Pisum sativum (pea) long non-coding RNA (PSAT_LNC007302)". The record is from RNAcentral. Lineage: Eukaryota; Viridiplantae; Streptophyta; Magnoliopsida; Fabales; Fabaceae.
GUGUUUUUGGUAUAAAAUGAUGUUUGAAAUAAAUAGAGUGUGAGGGUGAGAAAAGAAUUCAUUAAUUAUACUUUUGUGUUUGACAAGACCUUCAGACUUGUGCCUAUUUACCAACAUAAAUAUGAGGGAUCAAAACCUCGUAGUUCGUGGUAUCAUUUUCAAAGUGAGUUGAUUGCUUUUAACAAAAAUUUAAAUUUUUAAAGAGGUACAAAGGGCCUAAAU